AUAUGGUGUAAAUAUCUCCCUCUACCUUUAGCCGCUUCUUCUCAUUACGAUCUCGAAAGCAUUUAGCAGAAGCAUCAUCAUUCUUCUUUGAUCAACCUUGAGCAGGGGCCAUCCUUGUUCUUUCUUAUUGAGAAAGUAGUAACCACUUGUCACCGUUUGUCUUCGGAGCCGUCUUUCACCACCGGAUUCGUGAGCCGUUGUCGUCGUUUGUUGGUGAAGAAGAAGAAGGGUGAAAACUGUUGAAGUAGGAGUUUAAAGGAGUGAUUUCCCGUCAGAUCUUAAGGAAUCAGAUCGUUAUUUUAGUGUCUUUGGAUACAUCUCACUUCAAGGAAUCCACAGCAACAAACGGCUCUCUGUUACGAGAUUCAACUUGGCCUUUUGGAGAACAGAUUUCGGUCAGAUCUGAUUAUCAAAGGACAAGCCGAUGGUGUAUACAAAUAGAGGAAAUGUUGGAGAAGCCAUGGGACCCUUCGUCGUCACUAGGAAAGAUAUACCCUACCUGCCACGUUGAUUCCUUGUUGGACAAGAAUCACCUGUUUUGUCAAAACUGUAGAAACCCUAAUUUAUCUUUGUGCUGUUUUCUUGUGCUGCAAGUUUCAGAUAUUGUCAAGGAGUUUCAACCUCUUUAUAUCAUCCCAAAUUCAGGUGAUGUUGUGAUC
Molecule: RNA transcript, 659 nt
Organism: Arabidopsis thaliana (thale cress)
Lineage: Eukaryota; Viridiplantae; Streptophyta; Magnoliopsida; Brassicales; Brassicaceae
Exons: 3
Source: RefSeq